AGAUUGAACGCUGGCGGCAUGCCUUACACAUGCAAGUCGAACGGCAGCACGGGAGCAAUCCUGGUGGCGAGUGGCGAACGGGUGAGUAAUAUAUCGGAACGUGCCCAGUCGUGGGGGAUAACGUAGAGAAAUUUACGCUAAUACCGCAUACGAUCCAAGGAUGAAAGCGGGGGACCGUAAGGCCUCGCGCGACUGGAGCGGCUGAUAUCAGAUUAGCUUGUUGGUGAGGUAAAAGCUCACCAAGGCGACGAUCUGUAGCUGGUUUGAGAGAACGACCAGCCACACUGGACUGAGACACGGCCCAGACUCCUACGGGA
Molecule: ribosomal RNA, 317 nt
Filed under: uncultured soil bacterium
Lineage: Bacteria
Description: bacterial SSU rRNA
Rfam family: Bacterial small subunit ribosomal RNA
Source: RNAcentral